UCUGCCUGAGAAGGCGGCAUAACCCGGAAAUUAGGGGAUAUACCGCAUAGAUAGGGAGGCUAGCAUGCUCCAUAGUCAAAGGUCUGACGCUCAGGAUGGGUCUGCUGACGUAUAGGUGUGUAGGGUACCGGUCACCAUGCCUGUAUCGGUAUGAGUGUCAGAGCAAGAGCCGGAGAUGAGUCAGAGUCACGAAUCCAGGCGUACGGCAGCAGCAGGCGCGAUACACUUUACAGUGCGAGAAAUCGUGAUAAGGGAACCCGAGUGCCUGUAGUUCUGGCUGUCCAUCAGUGCAAAAAAACUGGUGAAGAAAGAGCCGGGCAAGACCGGUGCCAGCCGCCGCGGUAAUACCGGCGGCUCGAGUGGUGGCCACUAUUACUGGGCUUAAAGCGUCCGUAGCUUGGUUGUUAAGUUUUUUGGGAAAUCCAUCGGCUCAACCGAUGGGCGUUCAGGAGAUACUGUCAACCUAGGGACCGGAAGAGUUGAGAGGUACUUCAAGGGUAGGAGUGAAAUCCUGUAAUCCUUGGGGGACCACCUGUGGCGAAGGCGUCUCAAUAGAACGGCUCCGACAGUGAGGGACGAAAGCUGGGGGAGCAAACCGGAUUAGAUACCCGGGUAGUCCCAGCUGUAAACGAUGCGCGUUAGGUGUAUCGGUCACCACGAGUCACCGAGGUGUCGUAGGGAAGCCGUUAAACGUGCCGCCUGGGAAGUACGUUCGCAAGGAUGAAACUUAAAGGAAUUGGCGGGGGAGCAC
RNAcentral lists this ribosomal RNA (751 nucleotides) under uncultured archaeon. Its description in RNAcentral is "bacterial SSU rRNA". It matches the Rfam family "Archaeal small subunit ribosomal RNA", at positions 109 to 879 of the family's 1478-position model. The record is from RNAcentral.